This 588-nucleotide ribosomal RNA is filed under the name uncultured bacterium. Its description in RNAcentral is "bacterial SSU rRNA". It matches the Rfam family "Bacterial small subunit ribosomal RNA", at positions 127 to 749 of the family's 1533-position model. The record is from RNAcentral.
UACCUUUUGGUUCGGAACAACACAGGGAAACUUGUGCUAAUACCGGAUAAGCCCUUACGGGGAAAGAUUUAUCGCCGAAAGAUUGGCCCGCGUCUGAUUAGCUAGUUGGUGAGGUAACGGCUCACCAAGGCGACGAUCAGUAGCUGGUCUGAGAGGAUGAUCAGCCACAUUGGGACUGAGACACGGCCCAAACCCCUACGGGAGGCAGCAGUGGGGAAUAUUGGACAAUGGGCGCAAGCCUGAUCCAGCCAUGCCGCGUGAGUGAUGAAGGCCCUAGGGUUGUAAAGCUCUUUUGUGCGGGAAGAUAAUGACGGUACCGCAAGAAUAAGCCCCGGCUAACUUCGUGCCAGCAGCCGCGGUAAUACGAAGGGGGCUAGCGUUGCUCGGAAUCACUGGGCGUAAAGGGUGCGUAGGCGGGUCUUUAAGUCAGGGGUGAAAUCCUGGAGCUCAACUCCAGAACUGCCUUUGAUACUGAGGAUCUUGAGUUCGGGAGAGGUGAGUGGAACUGCGAGUGUAGAGGUGGAAUUCGUAGAUAUUCGCAAGAACACCAGUGGCGAAGGCGGCUCACUGGCCCGUCAAAUGAAUUGA